ACAAGGAAAUCUUGAAUGUGAGGAUGCAUAUCGGCAUGUUGUGGUCCUGUGGCUCAAACAUAUCUUGCAACAUAACUGAUGCCUACCCACAGAUGCUUUUCAUUGCAGCCCUCCCACCUGAUAUUCUCUGUCUGAAGUGUGACUGCAUCUCCCAGUAUCUUUUAAAAUUUCCUGUUUGUAAUACAAGAGAAUGACAACUCAAGUGGUAUUCUACUGAGAGAGUCUUUGUAAUAAGGGCCUUAAGCAAACUCACAAAUUAUAAUUCUCUCUAGGGAUUAUAAUUAGGAGGUGUGGAUUUUGAGCUGUUGUGUAACCAGGUUUUUUCUAUUGCUGUAUUAAUGGGACAUUUUGUUUAUUCUCACUCAUUUAGUCAACAAAAGGAGCCCAGCAGAACAACCUAAUGAAUAGGUCUUGAGUGUGGCUCAUUUCUCCCUAGCUUCAUUGGGGAGGCUCUGUUGAUUCACAACCUUUUAAGUGAUUUUCCUGACACUUUCCCCCCCUCUCCAUAUUCUCCAUUUAGUUGAGCAACUUGCAUCUUAAGGAAGAGAAAAUCAAACCAGAUGCCAAUGGUGCUGUUGUCAAGACCAAUGCUAAUUCAGAGAAGGCAGAUGAAGAAGAGAAAGAAGACAGAGCUGCCCAGUCUUUACUCAACAAGCUGAUCAGAAGCAACCUUGUCGAUAACACUAACCAAGUGGAAGUCCUGCAGCGGGACCCAAAUUCCCCGCUCUACUCUGUGAAGUCCUUUGAGGAGCUUCGGCUGAAACCACAGCUUCUCCAGGGAGUCUAUGCCAUGGGCUUCAACCGUCCAUC
Molecule: long non-coding RNA, 810 nt
Organism: Leopardus geoffroyi (Geoffroy's cat)
Lineage: Eukaryota; Metazoa; Chordata; Mammalia; Carnivora; Felidae
Exons: 4
Source: RefSeq, a predicted model, not a curated record